RNAcentral lists this long non-coding RNA (226 nucleotides) under Ananas comosus (pineapple). Its description in RNAcentral is "long non-coding RNA (ACOM_LNC036810)". The record is from RNAcentral. Lineage: Eukaryota; Viridiplantae; Streptophyta; Magnoliopsida; Poales; Bromeliaceae.
UGGUCUACCCAUGCACAUAGAGUUGUGGUGGUGGAUUGUUCAUCGAGUUGAUGCAAUCUUGCUAGAUCCACCCCACAGAGACGAAGGGUAGUCCUAAUCUCGAGGGGUGAAGAUGUUCGAUAGAACCGUGAAGGAAUAGGUCCUUCUUUAGCCGAGUGGCUGGUGAUGUUGGUGUGUGGGGUCAUGAGUAUUGACUCACACUACCACCGAGGUUUGUAAAGUUGUA